Long non-coding RNA from Lemur catta (Ring-tailed lemur), 321 nucleotides. RefSeq lists it as uncharacterized. Lineage: Eukaryota; Metazoa; Chordata; Mammalia; Primates; Lemuridae. The transcript is spliced from 2 exons. The record is from RefSeq and is a predicted model, not a curated record.
GGAGAGGGCGCCUGCCUCUGGCCGUUUCCGCUCUGACUCCCUCCUCCAGGUCAGGAACUCGGUUCCCAGAGUCAGCUGAGCAGGAGUUACGCAGUUUUCCAUCUCUUUCUCUCCACUGCUCCUUAGCCUGAGGAAGCAAGUAGCUUCGUCAGCUGGAGCCUGAUCCGAAGAACAUCACUGGUUCCACUCAGCAGCUCAAGAGACGUUCUCAAAGUGUGGUCCCUGGACCGGCAGGAUCAGCAUCACCUGGAACUUGUUAAAAUGCAAGUUCUCAAGCCUCAGCCCCGACCUCCUGAAUAAAAACUCCGGUGUGGCCCAGCA